Molecule: ribosomal RNA, 254 nt
Filed under: uncultured bacterium
Lineage: Bacteria
Description: partial 16S ribosomal RNA
Rfam family: Bacterial small subunit ribosomal RNA
Source: RNAcentral
UACGUAGGGGGCAAGCGUUGUCCGGAAUCAUUGGGCGUAAAGAGCGUGUAGGCGGUCCGGUAAGUCCGUUGUGAAAGUCAGGGGCUCAACCCUUGAAUGCCGGCGGAUACUGUCGGGCUAGAGUCCGGAAGAGGCGAGUGGAAUUCCCGGUGUAGCGGUGGAAUGCGCAGAUAUCAGGAGGAACACCGGUGGCGAAGGCGGGAUCCUGGGCCAGUACUGACGCUGAGGAGCGAAAAGCGUGGGGAGCAAACAGG